RNAcentral lists this transfer RNA (73 nucleotides) under Micromonospora pattaloongensis. It matches the Rfam family "tRNA". Rfam says of the family: Transfer RNA (tRNA) molecules are approximately 80 nucleotides in length. Their secondary structure includes four short double-helical elements and three loops (D, anti-codon, and T loops). The record is from Rfam by way of RNAcentral. Lineage: Bacteria; Bacillati; Actinomycetota; Actinomycetes; Micromonosporales; Micromonosporaceae.
GGGCUGCUAGCUCAAUGGGCAGAGCAGCGGACUUUUAAUCCGCGGGUUCAGGGUUCGAGUCCCUGGCGGCCCA